This 358-nucleotide ribosomal RNA is filed under the name uncultured bacterium. Its description in RNAcentral is "bacterial SSU rRNA". It matches the Rfam family "Bacterial small subunit ribosomal RNA", at positions 338 to 712 of the family's 1533-position model. The record is from RNAcentral.
CCUACGGGAGGCAGCAGUGGGGAAUAUUGGACAAUGGGCGAAAGCCUGAUCCAGCAAUGCCGCGUGAGUGAUGAAGGCCUUCGGGUCGUAAAGCUCUUUUACCAGGGAUGAUAAUGACAGUACCUGGAGAAUAAGCUCCGGCUAACUCCGUGCCAGCAGCCGCGGUAAUACGGAGGGAGCUAGCGUUGUUCGGAAUUACUGGGCGUAAAGAGUACGUAGGCGGUUAUUCAAGUCAGAGGUGAAAGCCCCGGGGCUCAACCCCGGAACUGCCUUUGAAACUAGAUAACUAGAGUCUUGGAGAGGUUAGUGGAAUUCCGAGUGUAGAGGUGAAAUUCGUAGAUAUUCGGAAGAACACCAG